GUUUUUAGCAGAAAGGAUCAACACAAUUUGUUUGGACCUUAGAAUCACGUAGAAAGAGCACUCUUGAAAUGUCAACUCUUGCGAAGGGUUCUAGAGACAAGAUAAUCCUCGAGACUGAGAGAGAGAGAGAGAAGGAGAUUGAGAGGAUCUGAGUCUGCGGUGCUCUCUGUCUCUGCCGAGCUCUUCCCUUGAGGGCAGAGCUGAAGAGACCCGCCCUUCUCCGGCUGCGUUUUGCCGCCCUUCCUGUUAGCACGAACCCGGUGAGGGUCAGAGGCAGAGAAAAGCGUGAUUGUUUUCGUGUGUUUGUUUUCCAGAAGCCGGGGAGAGAGAAAGUGAACUCCACAGACCAACGGUGCAAAGGCUCUGGGAGGUGAGCAGGGGCCAGUUCCACUGUCACCAGGGAUGGAGUCAUCCUGGGCCCGUGUACCCUCCAUGCUGGACAUGUUUGGAAUGACCUCAGGACUUAGCUUCUCCCUUUCAAAAGCAGUUGCUCUCAAAGAUGGCGUGGUGAUGUCUAAAGAAUUCAGGAUUUGGAUUCAGAAUCCCCAAGUCUUGGUCUAGGCUCUUUCGCACACACACGAAAGAAAAAGAAUCCUGACUAAGGUGGAAGGGGCAGAAAUUCCUGCUGGAGAGAAAACAGUCACCUUUGGGAGCAGUGGAGUUUCUCAGCUGGGCAGACAGGAGCCACCCUAAGGUGUGCAAAAACAUCUUCAUCACGAAUGCUUAGAUUCAAGGACAGGUCAUUUUCCCAUUGCAAGAUGGAUUGAGGUCAUGAGAAGAGCAAGAGUUUUGAGGCCACAUGACCUAGGGUUUGAAUUGUGACCCAGCCCUUUAUUAGAUGAGCUGCUCUCUGACUCAAGCUGUGACCCAUCUUCUUGAGUCUCAGUGUCCACCUUGCUGGAAUACUAAUAAUGUCUACCUCACAAUGUAGUCACCAGUUUUCAGUGAAAGCAUGGAAGGCUUGGCAUGCCUGACGCAAGAUUAGGGAUUUUUUUAGCAUCUCUAAAUUUAACUUUUUCUUUGCAAGGGAGGGAUAAUAAUAUUUAUUCAAUAUCUAUGACACAAGUAGUAUUGAACAUAUAUUUGGUACCAGGUACUCUUGUACUCUUCUAGGAAGGGGAAGCAGCAAAGAAUAAAACAAAGAUUUUGGCCCUUGUGGAGGUUAAAUUCUUGCGGAGGAGACCGACGGCAGACAGGGUGAAUAAGCAAAAUAUAGAGUAUGUCAGACAGUGCUGGGCACUAAGGAGAAAAAGAUAAGGCAGGGUUGUUGAAAGGAUUAAAUAAGAUAACAUAUAAAAUGUUCCUAAUCAGUGUCUGGCACAUUAUCAAUAGUCCAUUAACAGUAGCUAUUCAUCUCAAAC
Molecule: long non-coding RNA, 1361 nt
Filed under: Equus asinus (donkey)
Lineage: Eukaryota; Metazoa; Chordata; Mammalia; Perissodactyla; Equidae
Description: lncRNA (ENSEASG00005035218.1)
Source: RNAcentral